GAUGAACGCUGGCGGCGUGCUUAACACAUGCAAGUCGAACGGUGAAGGCGGAGCUUGCUCUGCUGGAUCAGUGGCGAACGGGUGAGUAACACGUGAGCAAUCUGCCCCUGACUCUGGGAUAAGCGCUGGAAACGGCGUCUAAUACUGGAUACGAGCUGCGAAGGCAUCUUCAGCAGCUGGAAAGAACUUCGGUCAGGGAUGAGCUCGCGGCCUAUCAGCUUGUUGGUGAGGUAACGGCUCACCAAGGCGUCGACGGGUAGCCGGCCUGAGAGGGUGACCGGCCACACUGGGACUGAGACACGGCCCAGACUCCUACGGGAGGCAGCAGUGGGGAAUAUUGCACAAUGGGCGAAAGCCUGAUGCAGCAACGCCGCGUGAGGGACGACGGCCUUCGGGUUGUAAACCUCUUUUAGCAGGGAAGAAGCGAAAGUGACGGUACCUGAAGAAAAAGCGCCGGCUAACUACGUG
This 468-nucleotide ribosomal RNA is filed under the name uncultured bacterium. Its description in RNAcentral is "partial 16S ribosomal RNA". It matches the Rfam family "Bacterial small subunit ribosomal RNA", at positions 28 to 507 of the family's 1533-position model. The record is from RNAcentral.